UUGACCUCGAAUCAGGUAGGAAUACCCGCUGAACUUAAGCAUAUCAAUAAGCGGAGGAAAAGAAACCAACCGGGAUUACCUCAGUAACG
Molecule: ribosomal RNA, 89 nt
Filed under: Erysiphe aquilegiae var. ranunculi
Lineage: Eukaryota; Fungi; Ascomycota; Leotiomycetes; Helotiales; Erysiphaceae
Also listed under: 1 other name
Description: partial 28S ribosomal RNA
Rfam family: Eukaryotic large subunit ribosomal RNA
Source: RNAcentral